GUGGGGAAUAUUGGACAAUGGGCGCAAGCCUGAUCCAGCAACGCCGCGUGAAUGAUGAAGGCCUUCGGGUCGUAAAGUUCUUUUGGUAGGGAAGAAAAUGACGGUACCUACAGAAUAAGCUCCGGCUAACUUCGUGCCAGCAGCCGCGGUAAUACGAAGGGGGCUAGCGUUGUUCGGAAUUACUGGGCGUAAAGCGUGCGUAGGUUGUUAUUCAAGUUAGUGGUGAAAGCCCAGGGCUUAACUCUGGAACUGCCAUUAAAACUGAAUAGCUAGAGAGUGUUAGAGGUAAGUGGAAUUCCUAGUGUAUGAGUGAAAUCCGUAGAUAUUAGGAGGAACAUCAAUGGCGAAGGCAGCUUACUGUGUCACAUCUGACACUGAGGCACGAAAGCGUGGGUAGCAAACAGGAUUAGAAACCCGGGUAGUCC
Molecule: ribosomal RNA, 425 nt
Filed under: uncultured bacterium
Lineage: Bacteria
Description: bacterial SSU rRNA
Rfam family: Bacterial small subunit ribosomal RNA
Source: RNAcentral